RNAcentral lists this ribosomal RNA (396 nucleotides) under uncultured Alphaproteobacteria bacterium. RNAcentral describes it as "bacterial SSU rRNA". It matches the Rfam family "Bacterial small subunit ribosomal RNA", at positions 9 to 433 of the family's 1533-position model. The record is from RNAcentral. Lineage: Bacteria; Pseudomonadati; Pseudomonadota; Alphaproteobacteria.
GAGUUUGAUCGUGGCUCAGAACGAACGCUGGCGGCAGGCCUAACACAUGCAAGUCGAACGCUGUAGCAAUACAGAGUGGCAGACGGGUGAGUAACGCGUGGGAACCUUCCCAAUGGUGCGGAAUAGCCCAGGGAAACUUGGGGUAAUACCGCAUAAGCCCUUAGGGGGAAAGAUUUAUCGCCAUUGGAUGGGCCCGCGUCGGAUUAGCUAGUUGGUGAGGUAAUGGCUCACCAAGGCAACGAUCCGUAGCUGGUUUGAGAGAAUGACCAGCCACACUGGGACUGAGACACGGCCCAGACUCCUACGGGAGGCAGCAGUGGGGAAUCUUGGGCAAUGGGCGCAAGCCUGAUCCAGCCAUGCCGCGUGAGUGACGAAGGCCUUAGGGUUGUAAAGCUC